UGGGGCCUCGGGAGCUACAGUGGAUCUGAAUAUCUGAUGAAUACCUGAAUCUUAGAUGUAUUCCGAUUUCAUCUGAACACUCACAGGCAGAUUGCUGCAGCAGCUCCCUCUCUGGUGAGUCCCUGCUGCUCUACACCGGCCUGUGCUGCUGGGCAUCUCACACAUCCCUGGAGGUGACACUGAGGACACUCGGACCCGUCCUCUCCGUUAUCCAACAGGCAUUCCAGACUCAAGUAUCUGCCCCGCUUAAGGCAGCCGAUUCCUUCGAAUUCUUCAAACAGGGCCGCGUCAAUAUCUGAAGAGCUGCAGACAAAGCCCGGGACGUGUGUGAUAUUGUUUGCUGACGUGGACACCUCCCCAAGAUAAUCUCCUCGAGUUUGCCCACACGGCACUGUUAAAUCAACAAGAUGUCAGACUGUUCACACCGUGUGGAAUCAAACGUUCCCAGCAUGGGCUCUGCAGUAACCAGGCGGGAUUCUGACAUCAGGCUUGCCCCUCCCAAAGAAGGCGGUUGUGGUAUUCAUCUCUAGGCCUCAGUUUCUCUCUUGGCCUCAUGGACAUAUCAUAGAUGCUUCAAAAGAUACCACUAGACUCUGAAGACUCUGUCAUGGGACUUCAUUCCUACUCGUACCUCUCUGUGAGCUUGCAGCCUUGAGGAGUCAAGGGUUUAUAAUGGAGUCCAGGCUGGCCUUGGUUUCAUCCUCCUCCUGCUUCAACCUCUCGAGGGCUGACAUUCCAUGCACAUCACUAUACCCCGUAGUUGAUGGGCUCCUAGUCAGGAAACGAAAAGGCAGUUGGAAGUGAACAGUUGGAGGUGGCAUGCCAGCGACUUUUGCAUGGCUGUGAACUUCAAGCAGGGAAGGGUUAUAUUGGCUCAUGGUUCAGAGGGUUUAUGUAGCCCAUGAUUGGUUGACCCUAUUUUCUGGGGGCACUGUUCACUUCCUGGUCAACAGGAAACGGAGUAUGAGACAG
Molecule: long non-coding RNA, 972 nt
Organism: Peromyscus leucopus (white-footed mouse)
Lineage: Eukaryota; Metazoa; Chordata; Mammalia; Rodentia; Cricetidae
Exons: 3
Source: RefSeq, a predicted model, not a curated record